Molecule: ribosomal RNA, 253 nt
Filed under: uncultured bacterium
Lineage: Bacteria
Description: partial 16S ribosomal RNA
Rfam family: Bacterial small subunit ribosomal RNA
Source: RNAcentral
UACAGAGGGGGCAAGCGUUGUUCGGAAUUACUGGGCGUAAAGGGCGCGUAGGCGGCCUUCUAAGUCGAACGUGAAAUCCCCGGGCUCAACCCGGGAACUGCGUCCGAGACUGAAAGGCUAGAAUCCGGGAGAGGGAUGUGGAAUUCCAGGUGUAGCGGUGAAAUGCGUAGAUAUCUGGAGGAACAUCGGUGGCGAAGGCGGCAUCCUGGACCGGUAUUGACGCUGAGGCGCGAAAGCCAGGGGAGCAAACGGG